AGGACUUACCUUAGAUAGAAUUUGCGACACCAACUGAACAAUCGCUCAGCAGAAAAGUACAUUAGACAGAACUCUGAUCUGACAACAGAGAAGUUGUUGUAGACAGCAAUGGUGAAGCUGAAAGCUUUACCAGAUUUUGUGCCAGAAGAAGGAUGAUGAGGGAUGCAGAGCAACAUUGGCUGUAAACGAAAAUGUCGGCUGUGUCUGAUGAAUUUUUGCUACAAAAGCUGGCGGUCUCCUGGAAAGAUCUACCUUGAAACCUGCUCAUCCUUUCACUGUAAACACCACACAGCUGUUCCGGCUGGUCCUCCUCCAUGUGCUCCACCAUCCUAACCAAACCUGACCUCCGGAUUAGACGCUAACUCCUCUGCCAUAACACUCUGGGACCCCAGCGCUUCACCUCAUCUUCAUUGUUUUUCAAUAAAACCUUUAAAUCUUAACUACCUCCUGUGAGUGUUCCGCAUGCAGGUUAGAGCAAGCUCUAAAAACAUAACAAAAAAAAAGCAAUCACAUAACAAAACUUCGGAAAACUUUUUUUCCAGAGGAUAUAUUAAUUUAAAGUUUAUUUAUAUAGCACCAAUUAACAUAUAUAUUUUUCAGAUUAAGUUUUAAAAACUGCAUUCUUUUCAAAUUUCUCUUUAUCGACAGUGGUGGAGCCAGAAUAUUUAAAGGCAGGGACCGAUGUGCACCAAAAACAACAAAGCAGUUUAGGGUCACUCUACACUAAUCAUACUAUAACAACAGCACUAUAUAAAGGCAGACUAGGUUUUAAUAAAGCAUUCGCUAAUAUCCCUACUCACAUAUUUAUACACAUACCGGUAUGUUGUCUAAGUUGUUUAUGGUUCUGCAUAGUAUACAAAUGAAAUGGGUUGAGCAGUGGUUUUUCUAAUUUUAUAGACUACUUGAUGGUUGCCACUAGGGGCCGCCAUGGCUGUCAUCAUUAAGUCGAGUCCAAUAUCAAAUCCUUCCAACACUAACUGUGCUGUGCAAAGAUACCGCACCCAUCUCGGUUGUAUUUAUACAUAUUGUAACAUGGUGUGGAUGUCCCUGCACAGUGGAGUGCGUUGCCUCAUGGGCUGUGUGGAAACUAAUUGGAAUGGAUGUGUGUCUGUUUUGGCCUAGGCUAUUUUUAUUGUGUGUGUGCAUGACAGCCUCAUGUGCAUGUAGAAGUCUGUGUGGAAAUCCGUGUUGAAUGCUGAUCUUGUGUUCUAGAUACCUAACAGAGGAAAAAACAUGUUUUUUGCCAAGAGUUCUGAUGCAGAAACUGUUCUCUUCACCUCUGCUCUCCAUGCAGCUACCGUUGUUCGGUGUGUGUGAGUGUUUCCUGUCUAAACAUUCUGUCCUCUAUCUUCUCGGCAUCCUACCAAGUAUAGAAAAGGGCUUCUUACUGAAACACAGUGUUUACAUGGUGUCUAAAUGACCACAAAUAAUAUAUCUUCCACAU
This is a long non-coding RNA of Cyprinodon variegatus (sheepshead minnow), 1444 nucleotides long. RefSeq lists it as uncharacterized. Lineage: Eukaryota; Metazoa; Chordata; Actinopteri; Cyprinodontiformes; Cyprinodontidae. The record is from RefSeq and is a predicted model, not a curated record. The transcript is spliced from 3 exons.